CUCCUCUCAGGAUUACAUCUGGAGAGUUUCCAGUACUCUACCAGUCUGGGGUAUGAGAGGGAGAGUCGAGCAGAGGCCUAUCCAUUCCAUUCCUAGCAUGGGCAGUGGCUAGCGAGAGGAAGGCCAUCUGCUACAAGU
Molecule: small nucleolar RNA, 138 nt
Filed under: Ornithorhynchus anatinus (platypus)
Lineage: Eukaryota; Metazoa; Chordata; Mammalia; Monotremata; Ornithorhynchidae
Source: RNAcentral